GAUGAACGCUGGCGGCGUGCCUAAUACAUGCAAGUCGAGCGAACGGACGAGAAGCUUGCUUCUCUGAUGUUAGCGGCGGACGGGUGAGUAACACGUGGAUAACCUACCUAUAAGACUGGGAUAACUUCGGGAAACCGGAGCUAAUACCGGAUAAUAUUUUGAACCGCAUGGUUCAAAAGUGAAAGACGGUCUUGCUGUCACUUAUAGAUGGAUCCGCGCUGCAUUAGCUAGUUGGUAAGGUAACGGCUUACCAAGGCAACGAUGCAUAGCCGACCUGAGAGGGUGAUCGGCCACACUGGAACUGAGACACGGUCCAGACUCCUACGGGAGGCAGCAGUAGGGAAUCUUCCGCAAUGGGCGAAAGCCUGACGGAGCAACGCCGCGUGAGUGAUGAAGGUCUUCGGAUCGUAAAACUCUGUUAUUAGGGAAGAACAUAUGUGUAAGUAACUGUGCACAUCUUGACGGUACCUAAUCAGAAAGCCACGGCUAACUACGUGCCAGCAGCCGCGGUAAUACGUAGGUGGCAAGCGUUAUCCGGAAUUAUUGGGCGUAAAGCGCGCGUAGGCGGUUUUUUAAGUCUGAUGUGAAAGCCCACGGCUCAACCGUGGAGGGUCAUUGGAAACUGGAAAACUUGAGUGCAGAAGAGGAGAGUGGAAUUCCAUGUGUAGCGGUGAAAUGCGCAGAGAUAUGGAGGAACACCAGUGGCGAAGGCGACUUUCUGGUCUGUAACUGACGCUGAUGUGCGAAAGCGUGGGGAUCAAACAGGAUUAGAUACCCUGGUAGUCCACGCCCGUAAACGAUGAGUGCUAAGUGUUAGGGGGUUUCCGCCCCUUAGUGCUGCAGCUAACGCAUUAAGCACUCCGCCUGGGGAGUACGACCGCAGGGUUGAAACUCAAAGGAAUUGACGGGGACCCGCACAAGCGGUGGAGCAUGUGGUUUAAUUCGAAGCAACGCGAAGAACCUUACCAAAUCUUGACAUCCUUUGACAACUCUAGAGAUAGAGCCUUCCCCUUCGGGGGACAAAGUGACAGGUGGUGCAUGGUUGUCGUCAGCUCGUGUCGUGAGAUGUUGGGUUAAGUCCCGCAACGAGCGCAACCCUUAAGCUUAGUUGCCAUCAUUAAGUUGGGCACUCUAAGUUGACUGCCGGUGACAAACCGGAGGAAGGUGGGGAUGACGUCAAAUCAUCAUGCCCCUUAUGAUUUGGGCUACACACGUGCUACAAUGGACAAUACAAAGGGCAGCGAAACCGCGAGGUCAAGCAAAUCCCAUAAAGUUGUUCUCAGUUCGGAUUGUAGUCUGCAACUCGACUACAUGAAGCUGGAAUCGCUAGUAAUCGUAGAUCAGCAUGCUACGGUGAAUACGAUCCCGGGUCU
Molecule: ribosomal RNA, 1373 nt
Filed under: uncultured bacterium
Lineage: Bacteria
Description: bacterial SSU rRNA
Rfam family: Bacterial small subunit ribosomal RNA
Source: RNAcentral